Molecule: ribosomal RNA, 253 nt
Filed under: uncultured bacterium
Lineage: Bacteria
Description: partial 16S ribosomal RNA
Rfam family: Bacterial small subunit ribosomal RNA
Source: RNAcentral
UACGUAGGGCGCAAGCGUUGUCCGGAAUUAUUGGGCGUAAAGAGUGUGUAGGCGGCCAUGCAGGUCCGUUGUGAAAACUCGAGGCUCAACCUCGAGACGCCGAUGGAAACCGCAUGGCUAGAGUCCGGAAGAGGAGUGUGGAAUUCCCGGUGUAGCGGUGAAAUGCGCAGAUAUCGGGAAGAACACCCGUGGCGAAGGCGGCACUCUGGGACGGUACUGACGCUGAGACGCGAAAGCGUGGGGAGCGAACAGG